This 497-nucleotide ribosomal RNA is filed under the name uncultured bacterium. Its description in RNAcentral is "partial 16S ribosomal RNA". It matches the Rfam family "Bacterial small subunit ribosomal RNA", at positions 28 to 507 of the family's 1533-position model. The record is from RNAcentral.
GAUGAACGCUGGCGGCGUGCCUAAUACAUGCAAGUCGAGCGAACGGACGAGAAGCUUGCUUCUCUGAUGUUAGCGGCGGACGGGUGAGUAACACGUGGAUAACCUACCCAUAAGACUGGGAUAACUUCGGGAAACCGGAGCUAAUACCGGAUAAUAUUUUGAACCGCAUGGUUCAAAAGUGAAAGACGGUCUUGCUGUCACUUAUAGAUGGAUCCGCGCUGCAUUAGCUAGUUGGUAAGGUAACGGCUUACCAAGGCAACGAUGCAUAGCCUACCUGAGAGGGUGAUCGGCCACACUGGAACUGAGACACGGUCCAGACUCCUACGGGAGGCAGCAGUAGGGAAUCUUCCGCAAUGGGCGAAAGCCUGACGGAGCAACGCCGCGUGAGUGAUGAAGGUCUUCGGAUCGUAAAACUCUGUUAUUAGGGAAGAACAUAUGUGUAAGUAACUGUGCACAUCUUGACGGUACCUAAUCAGAAAGCCACGGCUAACUACGUG